Long non-coding RNA from Harmonia axyridis, 683 nucleotides. RefSeq lists it as uncharacterized. The transcript is spliced from 3 exons. NCBI's taxonomy places the organism in Eukaryota, Metazoa, Arthropoda, Insecta, Coleoptera, Coccinellidae. The record is from RefSeq and is a predicted model, not a curated record.
CAUGAAUAAACAAAGUGAUAAUCUGAUUUGUAACGUCUGCCAGGAGAGCUAUUCCAGCGUCUCGGUCAAAAAUGGGCAUUUGAGAACUCUUCAUCUUGAAGCUGUCGAGGAAAAACCAAAAAACACUGUACAUAUACAGUGUCCCAUUUGCAAUGAGCAGGAAAAACCUUCUUCCGGAUCCCAUGACCUCCUUAUAAGCCAUUUAGAAAACAAUCAUUGCUUAAGUAUUAAAGUAUCUGUAAUUUAUGUAUAACAGAACCAUCAACAAGUAGAACUCGAUAUGAAGAUGAUGUCCAAAAUUUUAUAGUAGAAAACGAAGAAGGACAAAAUCCCAAUCUUUCAACCGAUCAGAGUAGAAAACAAGGGGUAAGUCAUCUAGAAUUAGCUAGGGUGAUGGAAAAACUUGAAAGCUUCUUAUAGAUUACGAAAGAACUAGCACAUAUGCUAGUGAAUAUGUUAAAUGAUGAUAAUUUGGAUAAGAUCGUCAGAAUAAUGGAAAAGGCUGUUAGUGAACAGACUGAAGGUGCAUCAACCAGUAAAAAGAGGAAAAUUGAUAAGCAAUCGUAUUAUCCCAGCAAGAAGUAGUGGUGUGGAUACAUACAAAGGGUAACCAGCUGUAUCUCGACCAAUACUUUUGAAAAUCAUUUUGAUAUGCCAGCCCAGAGUUUGACAAAGCGCAUGCU